UAAACCACGCGAAACUCCUGCAGUCA
This 26-nucleotide non-coding RNA is filed under the name Homo sapiens (human). Lineage: Eukaryota; Metazoa; Chordata; Mammalia; Primates; Hominidae. The record is from RNAcentral.